CCUACGGGAGGCAGCAGUGAGGAAUAUUGGUCAAUGGGCGGGAGCCUGAACCAGCCAAGUCGCGUGAGGGAAGACGGUCCUAUGGAUUGUAAACCUCUUUAGGCGGGGAGCAAUGCCGGGCACGCGUGCCCGGAGGGAGAGUACCCGCAGAAUAAGCAUCGGCUAACUCCGUGCCAGCAGCCGCGGUAAUACGGAGGAUGCGAGUGUUAUCCGGAUUUAUUGGGUUUAAAGGGUGCGUAGGCGGGAGAUCAAGUCAGCGGUAAAAUGUCGGGGCUCAACCCCGGCCGGCCGUUGAAACUGGGUUU
RNAcentral lists this ribosomal RNA (305 nucleotides) under uncultured bacterium. Its description in RNAcentral is "bacterial SSU rRNA". It matches the Rfam family "Bacterial small subunit ribosomal RNA", at positions 338 to 640 of the family's 1533-position model. The record is from RNAcentral.